This 459-nucleotide ribosomal RNA is filed under the name uncultured bacterium. RNAcentral describes it as "partial 16S ribosomal RNA". It matches the Rfam family "Bacterial small subunit ribosomal RNA", at positions 338 to 795 of the family's 1533-position model. The record is from RNAcentral.
CCUACGGGGGGCUGCAGUGAGGAAUAUUGGUCAAUGGGCGCGAGCCUGAACCAGCCAAGUAGCGUGAAGGAUGACUGCCCUACGGGUUGUAAACUUCUUUUAUAAAGGAAUAAAGUGAGGCACGUGUGCCUUUUUGUAUGUAUUUUAUGAAUAAGGAUCGGCUAACUCCGUGCCAGCAGCCGCGGUAAUACGGAGGAUCCGAGCGUUAUCCGGAUUUAUUGGGUUUAAAGGGAGCGUAGAUGGGUUGUUAAGCCGGCGGUAAAAAUUCAGGGCUCAACCCUGUCGAGCCGUCGGAACUGGCAGUCUUGAGUGGGCGAGAAGUAUGCGGAAUGUGUGGUGUAGCGGUGAAAUGCAUAGAUAUCACACAGAACACCGAUUGCGAAGGCAUCUCACGAAUCCGCGAUUGACGCUGAUGCACGAAAGCGUGGGUAUCAAACAGGAUUAGAUACCCCAGUAGUC